GAACACUGGUCCUCCUGUGUCAGCUACACCCAGGUAUGAACACUGGUCCUCCUGUGUCAGCUACACCCAGGUAUGAACACUGGUCCUCCUGUGUUGACUACACCCAGCCAGCACCCAGGUAUGAACACUGGUCCUCCUGUGUCAGCUACACCCAGCCAGCACUGAUGUAUGAACACUGGUCCUCCUGUGUCAGCUACACCCAGGUAUGAACACUGGUCCUCCUGUGUCGACUACACCCAGCCAGCACCCAGGUAUGAACACUGGUCCUCCUGUGUCAGCUACACCCAGCCAGCACCCAGGUAUGAACACUGGUCCUCCUGUGUCAGCUACACCCAGGUAUGAACACUGGUCCUCCUGUGUCAGCUACACCCAGGUAUGAACACUGGUCCUCCUGUGUCAGCUACACCCAGGUAUGAACACUGGUCCUCCUGUGUCAGCUACACCCAGCCAGCACCCAGAUAUGAACACUGGUCCUCCUGUGUCGACUACACCCAGACGUUGUGUUCAAAAUGCCUAGUGGUCCUGCCGCUGCCCCUCCCCCUCGGGACCAGGAAAUGGAAGAGGAGGAGUUUGGACCUCGGCUGCCUCCUCCUUCCUCUACAUUGACGGAGCGCCGUCCGUCCCCGACUCCCUCUGCUAAGGACGACAAGCACAAGAAGAAGUGUAAGGAGAAGCACAAAGCCAAGAAACACGGCAAGCACAAGAAGGACAAGAAGCAGAAGAAGAAGAACAAGAGGCACAAGCACAAAGGCAAGCAGAAGAAGAGCAGUAGGAAGGAGGAGUCAUCAGACAGCAGCUCAGAGGGGAGUGACGGGAACAGCCAGGAGGACGGAGAGGAGGGGGGAGGGGUAUCAACAGAAGAGCUGCUCAGAAGGUUGAAGGGCAUCCGUGGGAAGAAUCUGCAGUGAAUCUGUGAUCCGACAGACAACAGGAUGUCCUCUAUGAGGACAGAUAUCUGGAGACGGGAACCAUUCUGUAUGAAUUCCAAUAGCCCUGUAGUUAUGAUGCUGAUGAAAGUCUUACUUUACAUUUUAAAUUGUAAUUCUGAUGAGAUGUGAGUUUUUUUUUUGCUGAUCUCGGACUGAUAUGUGGAGAGAGGUCUAUCAUCUGUUAAUCAAUAAAAAUGUGAGAUUUUG
Molecule: long non-coding RNA, 1136 nt
Organism: Oncorhynchus tshawytscha (Chinook salmon)
Lineage: Eukaryota; Metazoa; Chordata; Actinopteri; Salmoniformes; Salmonidae
Source: Ensembl